AACGAACGCUGGCGGCAUGCCUAACACAUGCAAGUCGAACGAGACCUUCGGGUCUAGUGGCGCACGGGUGCGUAACGCGGGGGAACCUGCCCUUAGGUUCGGAAUAACUCCCCGAAAGGGGUGCUAAUACCGGAUAAUGUCGUCGGACCAAAGAUUUAUCGCCUUUGGAUGGGCCCGCGUUGGAUUAGCGAGUUGGUAGGGUAAAAGCCUACCAAGGCGACGAUCCAUAGCUGGUCUGAGAGGAUGAUCAGCCACACUGGGACUGAGACACGGCCCAGACUCCUACGGGAGGCAGCAGUGGGGAAUAUUGGACAAUGGGCGAAAGCCUGAUCCAGCAAUGCCGCGUGAGUGAUGAAGGCCUUAGGGUUGUAAAGCUCUUUUACCCGGGAUGAUAAUGACAGUACCGGGAGAAUAGGCUCCGGCUAACUCCGUG
This 433-nucleotide ribosomal RNA is filed under the name uncultured bacterium. RNAcentral describes it as "partial 16S ribosomal RNA". It matches the Rfam family "Bacterial small subunit ribosomal RNA", at positions 29 to 507 of the family's 1533-position model. The record is from RNAcentral.